RNAcentral lists this ribosomal RNA (372 nucleotides) under uncultured bacterium. RNAcentral describes it as "bacterial SSU rRNA". It matches the Rfam family "Bacterial small subunit ribosomal RNA", at positions 525 to 896 of the family's 1533-position model. The record is from RNAcentral.
ACGAAGGGGGCUAGCGUUGCUCGGAAUGACUGGGCGUAAAGGGCGCGUAGGCGGUUUGGUUAGUUAGGCGUGAAAUUCCUGGGCUUAACCUGGGGGCUGCGCUUAAUACAGCCAGGCUUGAGUGUGGAAGAGGGUCGUGGAAUUCCCAGUGUAGAGGUGAAAUUCGUAGAUAUUGGGAAGAACACCGGUGGCGAAGGCGGCGACCUGGUCCAUUACUGACGCUGAGGCGCGAAAGCGUGGGGAGCAAACAGGAUUAGAUACCCUGGUAGUCCACGCUGUAAACGAUGUGUGCUGGAUGUUGGGUGACCUAGUCACUCAGUGUCGUAGCUAACGCGAUAAGCACACCGCCUGGGGAGUACGGCCGCAAGGUUG